This is a long non-coding RNA of Acinonyx jubatus (cheetah), 972 nucleotides long. RefSeq lists it as uncharacterized. Lineage: Eukaryota; Metazoa; Chordata; Mammalia; Carnivora; Felidae. The transcript has 3 exons. The record is from RefSeq and is a predicted model, not a curated record.
CCCAGUGUGAGGCCUGUCCAUGCACCUUGCAGUACCUAGGUGGGUGGAGGGCCUUUGGGAUGACUUAGCAAAGUCAGGUCUGGUUCUGGGGUGACCCGCAAGCGUCCCCAUAGGGCUCCACAGCCAGCCAGGGUGGCAGAGAAUGGGUCUGGGAUCAGACUGUUGGACCUGGGCCUGGGAUUUCUGCUCCUAGAACCCCCGAACAACCACCUGAAACUCCAGGAAGGUUCUGAACACCCCAGGCUGUUUGAGCCUCCAUGGCUGCUACCAGUGCUGUUCCCUCUGGAAUUCCUCUUCUGAUGCCGCCUGGUGAACAUCUACUCGUCCUUCAUUUCCGCUACUAAUGAAUCCCUCUUGGAGGAAAAUUCCAGAAGAAAGAAGCAAAGAGAGCAUGAAAGAAAUCCUGAAUGCUAAAAUGGCUAUUUUCGAAGGUUUAACAUAAGCAGUUCCUUUCAACCAUUCUCACACUCAUUCUAGGGUGCCUCAUUAGCUACAAAAAACGCACAUUUAACUAGUGGAACCAAUUAGUGAUGCUGAUUCUUUUCAUCUUUGUUGAGAUUACCAAGUUAUUCAAGAUAUAUUUAACAAAUAUAUGGAUAAAACAUGUGUGAUUUAUUUUCAAUUGCUCUGGGUCAAUAAAAGACUUAAAUGCAUAUUAUCAAAUCAAAUCAAAUCAAAUCAUGGAUUGAUUAAAUCUAUUGCUUAUCUUACUUCAUCUUAUUAAAUAUUUAAUAUUUUCUGUUACCUACUAAUAAAAAUGCAAAGUUAUAUGAUGAACUGAUUAGUUUGUUUUCUUUAGUAGUAUAUAUCUUUCUCUGUCACUGGAUAGGAAAAGUUUGAUUACAAUGUUUAAUAAAUUAUUUCUGCUUUUUAAAUGUGGAAUUUUAUUUAUUUUUUCCCAAAACCUGAACCCCAGAGUUUGAGAACACACGCACACACUGAAAGAAUAUUAUUAUUUUGAUCAUACUUCUU